This is a non-coding RNA of Hydra vulgaris (swiftwater hydra), 1033 nucleotides long. The record is from RefSeq and is a predicted model, not a curated record. Lineage: Eukaryota; Metazoa; Cnidaria; Hydrozoa; Anthoathecata; Hydridae.
UUUUCUCAAACGUGAAAAAAAUUAUCAAUAUUUUAAUUAUAGUUAUUCGAAGCACUAACUAACAAUUUGAUUAGAGAUUUAAUUGUCCAACUCUAGCCACUUUGAGGCAGGCUCGGUUAUCGGAACAAGAAAACCUGAUGUUAUUGCCCUUCCUUGCAAUAUUAUCAUAUUGCUGUAUAUUGUUUACUCAAUACGAAAAAAAGAGACCUGAGGUUAAAGGCAACUAAAUCAGCAAAUGCAUUAACUGAUUUAGUUAAAUGGGCAAUGUUAUCAUCAUAUUUAACCAAGGAUGGUUUAAAUGAUUAUGAGUUGAUUGAAUGCGUGGAAAAGCAGUACAAUUAUCUCGGAUAAGUCAACGCAAAGUUAAAGAAGGAUUAAAUGACUGCGUAGUAGCUUAGUCGAGUAAAUAGAAAUGAAAAGCUGUGAAGAAAAGGCUAGUAAAUUAUGUAGAGAUAUUAAAUGAUGGUCAACUGGCAGCGAACAGCCUAAAAGAGUCUAAAAUAGUAAAAAAGAGUAAAUAUGUGUUAACAAUAACUUAUAUCUAGAUUUCAAGGGUUUACAAGAUGUUUUAGAAAAUAUAUUUUCUGAAACAUCUUGUAUUUUUAAGAUGCAGUUCCAAAAUUAGAAAUAAGUAAAAAAAUUUAAAUUUUUUUGUAGUUUGUUUUUUACAGGUGAUUUACGGUUGGUUGAUAAUGUAUUCUGAUGACUAAAGAAAGCAAACUUAUGAUUAUACUGUAGAUCAUUUAAAGAAGAUUUAAGAUGAACCUAUAUGUGUUUCAUGCGAAACAUCGGAUAUGUUUCUCAUCUCCAUAACAACAUCGAAUAUAUUCAUGCGAAACAUCAGGUGUUUCUCAUGUUAUUCCAUCGAAUGAGAAUAACAUGAGAAACAAGACCAUAACAUCAGAAACAAAAUCAAAACAUGUCAUCGCAUUGGAAACAAGAUACGAAACAUCGGAGUACCACUAUGUAUUACAUGUUUGUUGUAGAUAACAAAUUAAAUUAAAUAAAUAUAGUUAUAGUAUGUAUUAAAAAA